Molecule: ribosomal RNA, 253 nt
Filed under: uncultured bacterium
Lineage: Bacteria
Description: partial 16S ribosomal RNA
Rfam family: Bacterial small subunit ribosomal RNA
Source: RNAcentral
UACGGAGGGUGCGAGCGUUGUCCGGAAUCACUGGGCGUAAAGGGCGCGUAGGCGGCCUGAUAAGUAAGGGGUGAAAUCCUGCGGCUUAACCGCAGGGCUGCCUUCUAAACUGUCAGGCUCGAGCACAGUAGAGGCAGGUGGAAUUCCCGGUGUAGCGGUGGAAUGCGUAGAGAUAGGGAAGAACAUCAGUGGCGAAGGCGGCCUGCUGGGCUGUUGCUGACGCUGAGGCGCGACAGCGUGGGGAGCAAACAGG